GACUCUGGAGAAGCCCGCAUAGGCGGGGGCCGAAGGUGCAAGGCAGCCUUUUACACAAGGUUGGGCCGAAUCUCUCAGGCAAAAGGACAGAGUA
RNAcentral lists this non-coding RNA (94 nucleotides) under human gut metagenome. RNAcentral's name for it is "Glycine riboswitch". It matches the Rfam family "Glycine riboswitch aptamer", at positions 8 to 87 of the family's 94-position model. From Rfam's summary of the family: This family represents the bacterial glycine riboswitch. Glycine riboswitches usually consist of two metabolite-binding aptamers domains with similar structures in tandem. The record is from RNAcentral.